This 500-nucleotide ribosomal RNA is filed under the name uncultured bacterium. Its description in RNAcentral is "partial 16S ribosomal RNA". It matches the Rfam family "Bacterial small subunit ribosomal RNA", at positions 30 to 523 of the family's 1533-position model. The record is from RNAcentral.
AUUGAACGCUGGCGGCAUGCUUUACACAUGCAAGUCGAACGGUAACAGGGUGCUUGCACCGCUGACGAGUGGCGAACGGGUGAGUAAUGCGUCGGAACGUGCCGAGUAGUGGGGGAUAACGCAGCGAAAGUUGUACUAAUACCGCAUACGUACUGAGGUAGAAAGUGGGGGACCUUCGGGCCUCACGCUAUUCGAGCGGCCGACGUCUGAUUAGCUAGUAGGUGAGGUAAAGGCUCACCUAGGCGACGAUCAGUAGCGGGUCUGAGAGGAUGAUCCGCCACACUGGGACUGAGACACGGCCCAGACUCCUACGGGAGGCAGCAGUGGGGAAUUUUGGACAAUGGGCGAAAGCCUGAUCCAGCCAUGCCGCGUGUCUGAAGAAGGCCUUCGGGUUGUAAAGGACUUUUGUCAGGGAGGAAAUCCCUAGUGCUAAUAACACUGGGGGAUGACAGUACCUGAAGAAUAAGCACCGGCUAACUACGUGCCAGCCGCCGCCGUAA